AGACCCGAAACCCGGUGAUCUAGCCAUGGGCAGGUUGAAGGUUGGGUAACACUAACUGGAGGACCGAACCGACUAAUGUUGAAAAAUUAGCGGAUGACCUGUGGCUGGGGGUGAAAGGCCAAUCAAACCGGGAGAUAGCUGGUUCUCCCCGAAAGCUAUUUAGGUAGCGCCUCGUGAAUUCAUCUCCGGGGGUAGAGCACUGUUUCGGCUAGGGGGCCAUCCCGGCUUACCAACCCGAUGCAAACUGCGAAUACCGGAGAAUGUUAUCACGGGAGACACACGGCGGGUGCUAACGUCCGUCGUGAAGAGGGAAACAACCCAGACCGCCAGCUAAGGUCCCAAAGUCAUGGUUAAGUGGGAAACGAUGUGGGAAGGCCCAGACAGCCAGGAUGUUGGCUUAGAAGCAGCCAUCAUUUAAAGAAAGCGUAAUAGCUCACUGGUCGAGUCGGCCUGCGCGGAAGAUGUAACGGGGCUAAACCAUGCACCGAAGCUGCGGCAGCGACGCUUAUGCGUUGUUGGGUAGGGGAGCGUUCUGUAAGCCUGUGAAGGUGGCCUGUGAGGGUUGCUGGAGGUAUCAGAAGUGCGAAUGCUGACAUAAGUAACGAUAAAGCGGGUGAAAAGCCCGCUCGCCGGAAGACCAAGGGUUCCUGUCCAACGUUAAUCGGGGCAGGGUGAGUCGACCCCUAAGGCGAGGCCGAAAGGCGUAGUCGAUGGGAAACAGGUUAAUAUUCCUGUACUUGGUGUUACUGCGAAGGGGGGACGGAGAAGGCUAUGUUGGCCGGGCGACGGUUGUCCCGGUUUAAGCGUGUAGGUGUGUGUUCCAGGUAAAUCCGGUUCACUUUAACACUGAGGCGUGAUGACGAGGCACUACGGUGCUGAAGCAACAAAUGCCCUGCUUCCAGGAAAAGCCUCUAAGCAUCAGGUAACAUCAAAUCGUACCCCAAACCGACACAGGUGGUCAGGUAGAGAAUACCAAGGCGCUUGAGAGAACUCGGGUGAAGGAACUAGGCAAAAUGGUGCCGUAACUUCGGGAGAAGGCACG
Molecule: ribosomal RNA, 1042 nt
Filed under: Salmonella enterica
Lineage: Bacteria; Pseudomonadati; Pseudomonadota; Gammaproteobacteria; Enterobacterales; Enterobacteriaceae
Description: partial 23S ribosomal RNA
Rfam family: Bacterial large subunit ribosomal RNA
Source: RNAcentral